AUGGGAGGUCGCCUCCUUGAUGCGCUGAUUGUCCAUGGAAAGAAAGGAAUAAAGACAUUCGGCUGCUUGAUCUGUUCACGCGAACGAACAAGAAAAAGGAAGGAACAAGAUUAUUGGUUCCUAAAACUAAGGGCCAGCUGCAUGAUUUGCACCACGUGUCCACGUCUAUUUUUUUUCCUAACUAACCUACACGCUGCAUUUUUUUCCUUACUAACCUACACGCUGCAUGCAGAGAACACACGGGUUGGCGCUGUCCUAAUAAAGAUGUAUGGUACUAGGUUUCUUGUAUUUCUUUUUUCAGAUUCCUAG
This 309-nucleotide ribosomal RNA is filed under the name Triticum aestivum (bread wheat). RNAcentral describes it as "partial small subunit ribosomal RNA". The record is from RNAcentral. Lineage: Eukaryota; Viridiplantae; Streptophyta; Magnoliopsida; Poales; Poaceae.